CCCUUAGAUGUUCUGGGCGGCCCGCGCACUACAAUGGCGCUUUCAGCGAGUUCCUAUGUUGAAUUUUCCUGGGUAUUCUUGGAAGCGGCGUCUUGACUUGGGAUAGAUCCUUGUAAUUGUUGGUUUUGAACGAGGAAUUCCUUGUAAUCGCGGUUGAUCAGCUCGUGUUGAAUACGUCCCUGCCCUUUGUACACACCGCCCGUCGCUCCUACCGAUGAAUCGUCCGGUGAAGUUCACAGAGUGGCGGUUCGUGGAGUUGCUCGCGAAGUGAAAUGGACCUCACGAUUUAGAGGAAGGAGAAGUCGUAACA
RNAcentral lists this ribosomal RNA (310 nucleotides) under uncultured eukaryote. RNAcentral's name for it is "partial 18S ribosomal RNA". It matches the Rfam family "Eukaryotic small subunit ribosomal RNA", at positions 1470 to 1796 of the family's 1831-position model. The record is from RNAcentral.